UGUGUUCUUCACUAGUAUACAUAUACUAGUGUACAACAGUCUGGCCAAUAUGGGCUCAAUACCAAAGUGAUUUGUAAAAUGAUUCUGUGAUUUUUCCAUUAUAAUAAAUUAAGAAAAGCAGGUCUUAAUAAAACUUUACAAUCAGUGUAGGAAUACCUAUUUAGCUCUUCACUUCCAUAAGCACCAUCCAUUUUAAUUUAUGUACUUAUUCUCCCAUCAAGGAAGAUUCUGAACUUUUGAGGAUUGGCCUUUAUCUGCCCUGAACCUCGAACAUUCCACUGUAUCUUAAUGAAACGGAGGUUCUGUUCUUUCUGCCCAGGGCUUCUGAUAAGUGUUUGCAGACUGUGUAAACUUCUGAAUAAUAACUUUCAGUGAGGCAGAAGUCUUAAACAUCUUAGUAUCAUUUUGUCCAGUAUUAUUCUGUUCUGCAAGAUAAUGUGUUAUCAAUACUUCAUAAGAUAACUGUGGGCAGAGAAUGGAUAAAAUUCAUAGUUGCUUUCAAACUGCUCUCUUUUUUAGGGUGUGGGUCAUAGAUCAUACAGCUGUCAGCCAAUAGAUAAUCUUGAUGACUAAAAUGAAGCUAACAGCGAAAAAGGUGUCUCGUGUCUAAAACACAUAGAAAGGACUUAGUAAAUUAUAGCCCAGAAAAUUAAGGGGUGAAAAGAUUUCAGGCUUAUUUGUUUACAAGCAAAAACAGUGCCAUUUUAUCUGUUUGAGGAAUUUUCCUCAUCACCUCGGGAAGUGAAAAUUUGCUUUUUCUUUUUUCAGAAAUGAAUGCUGGCAUGAUUGUGUAAUUUGUGUAACCUGUUACUUGAGUUCAUUGACCUUGAUUGCAAUUUACACCAGCAAUAGACUCCUCAGGACACCUUUCUAAGCCGAUGGGCUAAACGCGUUGCAGUUUCUCCACUAACGUUCCCGAGACCCCAGAAUUAUCAUUGAC
Molecule: long non-coding RNA, 940 nt
Organism: Molossus molossus (Pallas's mastiff bat)
Lineage: Eukaryota; Metazoa; Chordata; Mammalia; Chiroptera; Molossidae
Exons: 3
Source: RefSeq, a predicted model, not a curated record